This is a non-coding RNA of Triticum urartu, 115 nucleotides long. The record is from Rfam. NCBI's taxonomy places the organism in Eukaryota, Viridiplantae, Streptophyta, Magnoliopsida, Poales, Poaceae.
UAUAUACUCCCUUCGUUCGGAAUUACUUGUCUUGGAAAUGAAUGUAUUUAGAACUAAAAUACAUCUAGAUACAUUCAUUUUUUCGACACGUAAUUCCGAAUGGAAGGAGUAUGCA